UGCCCCUGUACCUGCAAAGGCCCUGACGUUGGACUGGGCCUUGGGCUUUCACUGGAUAAAGGGGUGCCAUGGUGUUGUGUCCAACACAGGGCCAGGCUUGCUGGGCUGGACUCCUUAUGACCAGGCUGGUGGCCUUAGCAUCUAGGACGAGAAGCACGAUUGUCUGAAAAGGAGCAGUUGACCAGGCAUGGAGUUUCUGCAGUCCUGUUGUUACCUGGCACUGGGCAGGCCUUGGUGGCACUCAGCAGGGGUUGUGGUCUGUAAACCUUUGGCAAGCAAGGUGCAUGGUGAUCCCCGACGCUGCCACCAGCAUGUAAGGGAGCCUCUAGGAUGGGCACACGGAGACUUCCGAAUUGGGGCAGGCGAGGGACGGAGAGUCUAUGCACCCCAGGACUUUGAGCUGUGGGGAGUUGUGCGCCUUAGGGCCAAAACCCUAUUGGUCUCCGCCCCGGGCUCUAAGGAUGGGUCGGGGAGUCUUGUGGCAGGGGCCGGGGGCGGAGAUUCGGCUGCCUGGGGAGAGGGCGGCUCCGCGUGGGGUGGGGGCGCCCGGGAGCGCAGGCUCCGCCCCCCCCGCCCCCGCCGGAAGGGAAGGGGAGGCUGUGGCCAGCUCUGAGCAAGACAGACUCCUCGGCCAGCGCGGUGGGGGGGUGGCCGGCCGGGGACUCGGCGACACCGAGCGGGUCAGAGCGGGCUCGUCGCCAACGCAGUCACGUGUGCGGCCCCACCUCUCGCGUCUGCCUCCCCCGCGCGCCGCGCUUUCCAUUCAUAAAUUCUCCGCUUGCUCCGCGGCUACCGAGCGUCGGAGCCAGCCGGGAGCGCCGCGCAGCCGCCUGCCUGCCGCCCAUGGGCCGCGCGCCCCGGCGCUGAGCCUCAAAAUGCAGCCCACAGCCACCAUGGCCACGGCAGCCACCACCACCACUGCCACUGUCGCCCUGACCACGACGUGGGAUAACGCUACGGGUCAACCCACUCAGGCAGAGCCUGAAGACCCAGUCCUGGACAACUACGUGCUACUGGUGGUGGUGACGGCGCUCUUUGUCGGGGGCACACUUGUGGUGCUGUCCGGCGCGCUACUGCUCUGCAAGCGCUGCUGGGAGGUCCACCGGCGCCUCCACAGAGCCACAGAGGAAGCAGAGAAGACCACCACCACUUAUCUGGACAACGGCACCCACCCUACCCAAGACCCUGACUUCAGGGGCGAGGAUCCUCAGGGCCAGGAUGCUGAGACUGAGCGCUUCCUGUCCACCAGCUCCACGGGCCGCCGGGUGUCCUUCAACGAGGCCGCCCUGUUUGAGCAGAGCCGGAAGGCACAGGACAAGGGCCGCCGGUACACCCUGACGGAGGGGGACUUCCACCACCUGAAGAAUGCCCGCCUCACGCACCUGCACCUGCCACCCCUCAAGAUCGUCACCAUCCACGAGUGUGACUCGGGGGAGGCCAGUGCAACCGCCACACCCCACCCCACAGCUGCCCCCAAGGCCAGCCUCGCCAUUUUCCAACCCCCGGGGAAGGCCCUCACCGGCCGCUCUGUGGGCCCCAGCUCCGCCCUGCCAGGUGACCCCUACAACUCGGCCGUGGGGCCUGCUGACUUCGAGAUCAGCCCCUCAGCAUCCAGUGACUCCGGGGAAGGCACUUCGUUGGAGGCGGGUGCCAGGAGCGCCAAGCCUGGUGGGCCAGGGGCUGCGGCAGGGCCCGGGGAGGCGGGCCCCGUGCUACAGUUCUUCACCCGACUGAGGCGCCAUGCCAGCCUGGAUGGGGCUAGUCCCUACUUCAAGGUCAAAAAGUGGAAGCUGGAGCCCAGCCAGCGGGCAUCCAGCCUGGACACGAGAGGAGCCCAGAAGGAGCCUGUGAUUCUUGGAGUGAUUACAGUGAAACGGAGGCAAGGAAGCGCCCAGAACCUGUUUGCUGGGUGACUCUCAUCCCCACCCGAGGCUUUCCCACUGAGGCCUCUUAUCAUGGGAGGGUCUUGGUCCCUGGCAGGGCUGGAGCUGGCAGGACAGGGCUUCACCUCUCUGCUCUCACACCUGGCCCUCACUCUCUCACGCCUUCCUUUGGCCGGCUACACAUUAGCCAGGCCAUGUCUGUCACCGGGUAGCCAGUCCAGGUCCUUGCUCCGGCCACACCUGUCUGCCAGGGCUGCUCAGGAGGCCCUUUGGCUCACCCCUUCCCUGGGCUUUCUGCUCUCUAUGCCUUGGUUUCCUCAUCUGCACAGCAGGGUACACACUCACGUGGCCCAGGGUGGUGGUGGGGGGGGAAGGGGAUGGGCCCAGGGCUAGGAGGGGCCCCGGCAGGCUGCCGUGCCUUCUUCUACACAGGCUCCCCCAAGCGGCACCACUUCCAGCGGCAGCGGGCCGCCAGCGAGAGCAUGGAGCAGGAGGAGGGGGGCGCCCCCCAGGCCGACUUCAUUCAGUACAUCGCCAGUGCAGGAGAUGCAGUGGCCUUCCCAAGCCCCCACCCCUUUCUGACCAGCCCUGCCAGCUCGCCCCCCGCUCUCGGCAGGCUAGAGGCAGCCGAGGAGGUGGGCGCCGCGGGAGGAUCCAGCCCCGAGUCCCCCCCGGAGCGCAGCAGCAGCAGCAUGGGGCCUGAGCAGCAGCAAGACUCAGAUGGUGAGCGAGAUGCAGGGCCGGAGCAGGCCCAGACCAUCUACCGCGACAUCUGGAGCCUGCGCGCUUCGCUCGAGCUGCAUGCAGCCACCGCCUCAGACCACAGCAGCAGCGGCAACGACCGCGACUCCGUGCGUAGCGGCGACAGCUCGGGCUCGGGCUCCGGGGGCACCGUACCCGCCUUCCCUCCACCUUCACCGCCACCCACACCGCGCCCAGCGGAGAGCGAGGCAAGUGGGCCCCGCAAGCUGCUGCAGAUGGACAGCGGCUACGCCAGCAUCGAGGGCCGCGGUGCGGGUGAUGAGGGGCCUCCCAGCGCGCCAGAGAAACGCUCCUCCUUCACGAGCGCGGGCCACGAGGCCACCGUAGGCGGCAGCUUCGAGGGGCCCAUGCCAGAGGUGCCCUCCCGACCCCGCAGCCCGCGUGCCUGGCCCCGCCGCGCCCCACGCCGGGACUACAGUAUUGACGAGAAGACGGAUGCACUGUUCCAUGAGUUCCUCCGCCAUGACCCGCACUUCGAUGAUGCUCCGUCUGCAGCAGCACGCCACCGCGCGCGUGUGCAUCCCCACACGCGCAAGCAGUGGCAGCAGCGGGGUAGGCAACACAGCGACCCUGGUGCGCGAGCUGCGGCCCCAGCCCCCUCUGGGGCACCAACCGGCGCCCCCCGCCCUGCGCGCGCACCCCUGCGCCGCGGGGACAGCGUCGACUGCCCACCAGAAGGCCGCGCAGGAGAGGACCCAGCUGCCCUCGCCAUCCCCGUCAUCGAGGAGGAGCCCGGCGGCGGCUGCCCAGGCUCUGGCCUGUGCACCGGGCCUCAGGGCGCUCUCCUGGACAAGCUGGCAGUCAGCCUCGACGACAGACUCUUCCCGCCGCGCCUGGCCCAGCCUGUCGCUGUGGCCCCUGCGCUGGCCGCAGCCGCGCCCACAUCCCCCGACCACAGCCCCGUCUAAGUCUGUGUCCUGCGCCCACCUCGUCAGCUUAUACAGCACGGGCGGGGCCUUGGCACCGGACACACCUGGGGCGCGACGCCCUGGUGCGCAUGCGCUGGGACUGGGGGGCCUCGCGCACAAAGCAGUGCCCCAGGCGCCCCGCGCCGCCCCAGGAUGCGCACGCACACAGUUCAUACCGGGCAUUUAGCUGGGUCGACUAGAGGGAGUGUGGCGGAUUCUCAUCUUCAGACUCCUGAAGACCACGUUCCGCUUCCCUUGGUCCUGGACAGCGACCUCGAGCUGGUGACUGAGCGUAGCACACACCACUGCCGCGUCUCGGGCCCAUGGCGAUGGGUAGCGCAUGCGCAGCGCCUGCAUCCUAGAGGGGCGAUGCACAGCAACUGCGCUAGACGCAUGCGCAGAGAGACCCCUCCCAGGACCAAUUGGGCCUCGAGGCGCGCCAGAGUCCGCGCCAGGGCACAAGCACAGUGACUGCGGGGUGCCGAGGACCCUUGAAGAAUGCAUCCGCCCUGGGCUAGGAGGUUGGCCCAAGACCGCGGCCGCCAACCCCUUGAAGCCGUUUACCUCACCGCGGCGAGUGCUCGCAGCAGUCCGCGCCCCCUCCAAGCAAUAACCGCAUCUGCUGCUGCCAUCCCCAGCCCUAGAUACACCCUCCAGCCCUCCUCCCAGUGUCUGCAUCCCGACGCCCGCCCUCUGCAUGUUGGGUGGGCCGCACGCCCCUACUGCAUCAAUCCAAAGAGCCGCUAGGACUCACCACUGUUUCAGACACAAAAUCCAAACGAUCAAGGUUUCAAGUUUCCCAAGCUUUAUUUAUUGCCAAAAGAUGGGGCAGCCCUCGCCAGCGGCCGAGUCGCCCUGCCCCGUCCCUUCCUUCGAAGCUUCGCACUGUCAGUGUGCCAUCCAGUGAUGGAGUUUGUGUUUUGUUUUCUGGUUGAUUAUAUUUACUGCAUACUCUUGCUGGCUCUGAGUUUUCUCAUGGGAUCCAAGAGCACAGAGGCCUUGGGGGGAAAGGGAUCAGGAUCUCCAGGCCACUGAACUGUGCAGCCAUGGGCUCUGGAGCUUUCUGGAGGCUGGGUCACCAAGACAGCACAGAGAUCCAACAUGGCCAAAGGCCAUGUCCCUACCAGGCACUACCAGCAAGACCUGCAGACCCCGGCCAGCCCCUCCACCACAGGAUCUACAAAGGGCCCCAGGCUCAGACUCUGAUCACCCACUUGAUAAUACAUCCUGCCACCCACAAUUCCCAAACAUCCCUCAUGACCACAACUCAAAUCCACCUGUUUUAUUUUUUCUUAAAAAAAAAAAAAAGAAAAAA
Molecule: non-coding RNA, 4868 nt
Organism: Sus scrofa (pig)
Lineage: Eukaryota; Metazoa; Chordata; Mammalia; Artiodactyla; Suidae
Source: RefSeq, a predicted model, not a curated record